GAUGAACGCUGGCGGCGUGCCUAAUACAUGCGAGUCGAGCGAACAGACGAGGAGCUUGCUCCUCUGACGUUAGCGGCGGACGGGUGAGUAACACGUGGAUAACCUACCUAUAAGACUGGGAUAACUUCGGGAAACCGGAGCUAAUACCGGAUAAUAUAUUGAACCGCAUGGUUCAAUAGUGAAAGACGGUUUUGCUGUCACUUAUAGAUGGAUCCGCGCCGCAUUAGCCAGUUGGUAAGGUAACGGCUUACCAAGGCAACGAUGCGUAGCCGACCUGAGAGGGUGAUCGGCCACACUGGAACUGAGACACGGUCCAGACUCCUACGGGAGGCAGCAGUAGGGAAUCUUCCGCAAUGGGCGAAAGCUUGACGGAGCAACGCCGCGUGAGUGAUGAAGGUCUUCGGAUCGUAAAACUCUGUUAUUAGGGAAGAACAAAUGUGUAAGUAACUAUGCACGUCUUGACGGUACCUAAUCAGAAAGCCACGGCUAACUACGUG
This 497-nucleotide ribosomal RNA is filed under the name uncultured bacterium. RNAcentral describes it as "partial 16S ribosomal RNA". It matches the Rfam family "Bacterial small subunit ribosomal RNA", at positions 28 to 507 of the family's 1533-position model. The record is from RNAcentral.